RNAcentral lists this ribosomal RNA (980 nucleotides) under uncultured organism. RNAcentral describes it as "SSU rRNA". It matches the Rfam family "Bacterial small subunit ribosomal RNA", at positions 493 to 1486 of the family's 1533-position model. The record is from RNAcentral.
UCGGCUAACUCCGUGCCAGCAGCCGCGGUAAUACGGAGGAUCCGAGCGUUAUCCGGAUUUAUUGGGUUUAAAGGGAGCGUAGAUGGAUGUUUAAGUCAGUUGUGAAAGUUUGCGGCUCAACCGUAAAAUUGCAGUUGAUACUGGAUAUCUUGAGUGCAGUUGAGGCAGGCGGAAUUCGUGGUGUAGCGGUGAAAUGCUUAGAUAUCACGAAGAACUCCGAUUGCGAAGGCAGCCUGCUAAGCUGCAACUGACAUUGAGGCUCGAAAAGUGUGGGUAUCAAACAGGAUUAGAUACCCUGGUAGUCCACACGGUAAACGAUGAAUACUCGCUGUUUGCGAUAUACUGCAAGCGGCCAAGCGAAAGCGUUAAGUAUUCCACCUGGGGAGUACGCCGGCAACGGUGAAACUCAAAGGAAUUGACGGGGGCCCGCACAAGCGGAGGAACAUGUGGUUUAAUUCGAUGAUACGCGAGGAACCUUACCCGGGCUUAAAUUGCAGAUGAAUUACGGUGAAAGCCGUAAGCCGCAAGGCAUCUGUGAAGGUGCUGCAUGGUUGUCGUCAGCUCGUGCCGUGAGGUGUCGGCUUAAGUGCCAUAACGAGCGCAACCCUUGUUGUCAGUUACUAACAGGUUCCGCUGAGGACUCUGACAAGACUGCCAUCGUAAGAUGUGAGGAAGGUGGGGAUGACGUCAAAUCAGCACGGCCCUUACGUCCGGGGCUACACACGUGUUACAAUGGGGGGUACAGAGGGCCGCUACCACGCGAGUGGAUGCCAAUCCCCAAAACCUCUCUCAGUUCGGACUGGAGUCUGCAACCCGACUCCACGAAGCUGGAUUCGCUAGUAAUCGCGCAUCAGCCACGGCGCGGUGAAUACGUUCCCGGGCCUUGUACACACCGCCCGUCAAGCCAUGGGAGCCGGGGGUACCUGAAGUGCGUAACAACGAGGAGCGCCCUAGGGUAAAACUGGUGACUGGGGCUAAGU